UUAUGAGCAGGGAAAGGAACCAGAGCUCACUCUUUCUCUCCCUGCCAUGUGCAGACAUCGUGAGAAGGUGGCCAUGUGUAAGCCUGGAAGAGAGCCCUCACCAAAAACUGACUCCGCAAGACCUUGGUCUGGGACUCCUGGCCUCCAGAACUGCAGGCAAUUAAAUACCUGUUGAUGAAGGCAUACAGUCUGUGGCAUUUUGUUAUGGCAGCUCUCGAAGACUCCAUCAUGAUGGAAAGGAGAGGCUACUAGGCCUGAAGCAGGCUUGCACAGGAUGGACUGAGGGCUCUGAAGGGCCUCACAGUAGAGUCCACACAGAAUCUCACUAUUCUUCCAAAGUAGAAGUGGUAACAUUUACUCUUUUCUUUUGAUGUCCUUGGCACAAACCAAGACAACAGUAGAGUGAUCCCCAAAUUCAAUACAAUUCCCAGGCAGGGAUAGAUACCCAAGACCAUUACGAUCAUUCCAAUUCAAAACUCUUUUCUCAGACUGAAAGAUUUAGCCGCUAUUGUUCAGGUAAUGGUGCUGUUUCCUUACUUGUGGGGUGUGGGGGAAUUACUAAUGAAUAGAAUCACAUUUUUGCAAUGAGAAAUUGAAAUGUUUUUCUCCCAUAGAUUAGCAAAAAACAAAACACCUCUAUUGGUGCCCACUUAUACCAAGCAUUAUUCACGUGGUUGUUUUAAUCCUAAUGUGUUAAAUUGUAUCAGGGCCGGUAAAGAUCAUCAGGACUCAUAUAUAUUCAACCAAUCUAAACAGAUUUAUGAAUCAUUUCAGAGUGCUUAUUUGAUUGUCUUUCUCUAUCAAACCAGUCAAUUCCCUUCAAUGAGAUAAAUAGCAAUGGGAAUUUCUGAUGUAUGGACGUCAUGUUUGGGAGGAGAGGGGAGUGGUUGGGGCGGGUGAUCUAUUUUCUGACCAAACUGGAAAAUCUGCUUUUCAGAAGUUUCCUCCUGACUCCUCCCACCCCCACUCCCCACAUCAAGGGAGGGCAGAGA
Cebus imitator (Panamanian white-faced capuchin) is the source of this 992-nucleotide long non-coding RNA. RefSeq lists it as uncharacterized. The record is from RefSeq and is a predicted model, not a curated record. The transcript has 3 exons. Lineage: Eukaryota; Metazoa; Chordata; Mammalia; Primates; Cebidae.